AGCUUGCUCCUUUGACGUUAGCGGCGGACGGGUGAGUGACCCGUGGGUAACCUACCUAUCACACUGGCAUGACUUCUGGAAACCGGAUCUAAUACCGGAUAAUAUUUCGAACCGCAUGGUACGAUAGUGAAAGAUGGCUCUGCUAUCGCUUAUAGAUGGACCUGCGCCGGAUUACCUACCUGGGAACGCAACGGCUUACCAAGGCAACGAUCCCUAACCGACCUGACAGGGUGAUCGGCCACCCUGGAACUGAUACUCCGUCCAAACUCCUACGGCAGGCAGCAGUACGGAAUCUUCCCCGAUGGGCGAAAGCCUGACGGAUCGACGCCGCGUGAGUGAUGAAGGUCUUCCCAUCGUAAAACUCUGUUAUUACGGAAGAACAAACGCGUAAGUAACUGUGCGCGUCUUGACGGUACCUAAUCAAAAAGCCUCGGCUAACUACGUGCCAGCAGCCGCGGUAAUACCUACGUGGUAAGCGUUAUCCGGAAUUAUUGGGCGUAAAGCGCGCGUAUGCCUUUUUUUAACUCUGAUGUGAAAGCCCACGGCUCAACCAUGAAUGGUCAUUGUAAACUGGACAACUUGAGUGCAUAACAGGAAAGUGGAAUUCCAUGUGUACCGGGGAAAUGAGCAGAGAUAUGGAUGAACACCAGAUGCCGAAGGUUACUUUCUGGUCUGUAACUGACGCUGAUGUGCGAUAGCGUGGGGAUCAAACAUGAUUAGAUACCGCAGUAGUGCAUGCUGUAAACGAUGAGUGCAUAAGUGUUAGGGGGUCUCGGCCCCUUAGUGCNUCAGCUAACGCAUUAAGCACUAGGCUCUGGGGAGUACGACCGCAAGGAUGAAACUCAAAGGAAUUGACGGGGACCCGCACAAGCGGUGGAGCAUGUGGUUUAAUUAGAAGCAACGAGAAGAGCCUUAUCAAAUCUUGACAUCCUGUGAGCAUUGUAGAGAUAGAAGUUUACCCUUAGGGGGACAAAGUGACAGGAGGUGCAUGGUUGUUGUCAGCUCGAGUAGUGAGAUGUUGGGUUAAGUCGGGCAUCGAGCGCAACCCUUAAGGUUAG
RNAcentral lists this ribosomal RNA (1058 nucleotides) under uncultured organism. RNAcentral describes it as "SSU rRNA". It matches the Rfam family "Bacterial small subunit ribosomal RNA", at positions 77 to 1114 of the family's 1533-position model. The record is from RNAcentral.